RNAcentral lists this ribosomal RNA (112 nucleotides) under uncultured eukaryote. Its description in RNAcentral is "partial small subunit ribosomal RNA". It matches the Rfam family "Eukaryotic small subunit ribosomal RNA", at positions 1676 to 1785 of the family's 1831-position model. The record is from RNAcentral.
UCGCUCCUACCGAUUGAAUGGUCCGGUGAAGCGUUCGGACCGUGGCUUUCUGACGGUUCGCCGUCGGAUAGCCGUGGGAAGUUCGUUAAACCUUAUCAUUUAGAGGAAGGAG